CCUACGGGAGGCAGCAGUGGGGAAUAUUGCACAAUGGGCGAAAGCCUGAUGCAGCAACGCCGCGUGAGGGAUGACGGCCUUCGGGUUGUAAACCUCUUUUAGUAGGGAAGAAGCGAAAGUGACGGUACCUGCAGAAAAAGCACCGGCUAACUACGUGCCAGCAGCCGCGGUAAU
Molecule: ribosomal RNA, 174 nt
Filed under: uncultured bacterium
Lineage: Bacteria
Description: partial 16S ribosomal RNA
Rfam family: Bacterial small subunit ribosomal RNA
Source: RNAcentral